CACUGACCCCUCCCAGGGGAGGCUGCUCAGGACGCUGUGAGUGGAUCAAGUUUUCCCGGGGGAGCCGAGAUUCCCCCUCCAGGCCGGCAACGCCUCCACCUCCCCAAAACAGGCUCACAGCCCCUGCCUGUCAGUCACUCACUCACUCAUUCAUUCAUUCACUCAGCAAGUACCUAUUAGCACAUCCUGUGAGUUAAUAGGAUUGAGCGUGAACAACACAAAGCCCAGCUCCUGCUCUCCAGAGAUUUCGUGGGAGUGACAGACACCAGUUAAAAUGCCUGCCCCCCUUCCCAAGGCUCAAAAAGCCGAAGAACCACCUGCAGACUUCCCCCAGGGAGUGGAUGAAAUUGCUGAUUCCCGGACUCCAAGCCCAGCUUUUCUGAAUCAGAAGCUCCAAGGAGAGUCAGCAAGCUCAAUACUCAACAUCACCUCAGGUGACUCUGAGACCACUUGCUGCCUUCGGGGAAGACAAGCCUCGGUCCUCCUCAUUUCCUGGGACAGGGGAUUUCCUCCUGGAACCUUGACUAAGCCGGAGCUGGGAAAUCAGCAGGGAGGGGAGGCCCAGGUUCACCACCCGCUUGUGAGGAGGCAAGUGCCGACAAGUGCAGCCUCUGCUGGGCUCCAGCCCCUGGGCCUCAGGCCGAGGAUGGUGGCGGGUUGGGGGGGAGGAGCACGGUGCGCCUUCUCCCCAGUGCUGAGCCCUCCCAGCUGUGCUGUGCUGGGAACAGGCCAGACAUUUGUGAAACCCUGGGUUAGCCUGACCCACUGUCAUGAGGGCUGCCUGUGGAAGCUGGCGCGGGGAGGGGGGUGGGGGGCUGUUCCCAGAAGUGGGGAGAACUCUGGACUUCCCACUCCUGAGUGCUCCGGAUUGCAGCACAGCCUUAAGCAACAGCAGUGGCCUGGAAGGCUGCGUUGCAAAGAGAACAGAGGCCCCCAGCUCUCAUCUGAAGAGAAGCCAGGACUCUUGAGUGCUAAAACUGCAUGCCUUCCUCAUUAAUAACAUCACAGCUGCUGUUCGUAGUAAUAAUUAGGCCCAGCCUUAGAGAAAGGUGGAAAACCUAGCCUUCAAAGAAGAAACACACAGAAGGCGAGUUCAGUAUUUACAUUACACAAGAAAAUGUGUUUCCUCUCUUUCACCUCCCCUCCCCCAAGUCUUAAAUCUUUCCAUACAGAAAGCACUAUGUGGUGUCCAUAAUGUACAGGAUGAUGAAGGUUAUAGACAAGAAACAUAAAAUCCAUGAGGACCGGUCCUCCAGGAGGCCUGUGUGUGCACAACCACAGGGGGUGCUGUUCAGGAUAUGAUCUUUGUAGGUGGGGUCCCAUGGCAUUGUACGAUGGGGACUGUAGUGGUUAUGAGCUUUAGGGUACAUUAGCACCUGAUGCUUACCUGCCCGGUGCCUCCAGGUGAUGUCAACAAAGGUGGGAACCCUGUUCUGGGCACCGGGACCAAUGCUGGAGAGACCACUGCCAACAGGGAGCAUUCAGACUUCAAGAAGCAUACAUAUAGUCUGAAAGGGGAACCAGACGUGAAAACCAAGAAGUAUCCUAAAAAGGAAUAGGUAUAAAAAUGAAAUGGUGUACAGGGUGCAGCUGAGGGCCUCCGGGAGGAAAUGACCCACAGUGCUUCCCAGAAGAAAUGACUCCGGUGGUGAUGAGAAGGAGCAGGUGUUCUCUCAGCAGGCGUGGGACAGCCUGGCAUCCUAGUGAUCAAAACAGGGAAAUGGCCAAAAAAGGGAAAGGAAGACUUUGGGGAACUUCAAGAAGUUUGGUGUGUCCCCAUCAGGCACAUCCAGGCCAGGCUCAUCUUCUAGAAACGCUGCUUUCAUCAUCACAUGACACACACAGUCCUUCCCCAUAGGAUGCACACUGCUUCCCGGGGUGCUUUCCUCUAAGCCGGUUCCAGUAUAGUCACUCUCUCAUUCUCGAGGAAAACUCGUUGUUUUCAAUUCCCCCACCCAGGGAGACUUAACUGCCUCCCAUCAAGGUGGUCUCCUCACCUGCCCACCAUAGGCUUCCCACCUGUGAGCUUGGUUCAAACGGGGGUCAUCCCACCAGCCCAGACAGCCCUUCCCCCUCCUCGAAUUCUGCCUCUUUCGUGGCUGCCAGUUUCUUCCAAAUUGGACCAUGAACUCUUUGAAGGAAGAACUCACUCAUUCAUUCCUUCAGCAAUAAUUUAUUGAUUGCCUACUCUGUACCAGGAACUGGAUCUUCACAAAAUCUAAUAAGAGGGGGUCACGGUGCCUAGUGGAAGCCCACCAAAUGCUUGACCCCAAAUGCUUGACUGUACAAAAGAAGAAACUUCUUUACACAAAGGGGUUUCUGGAGUUGUUAAAAUAUUUCAAUCAUUAACAACUUUUAUUUUGGGAAGCAAAGAGGCAUGUUUUAUUUUGAAUAUGUUGCAUUUUGUUUCUUUCAAGACAUCUUAAUAUGUUAUCUUACUCCUACCUGAGGCAGCCCAGAUGAAAUAUAUUGCAUUUUCUGGAUAAGCAAACUAAGGUGUCAGGGGAUUUAGGCUUGCCUCAAGUCACACAGGGGCUUCCCAGGUGGCUCAGUGGUAAAGAACCUGCCUGCCAAUGCAGGAGACAUAAGAAACCCAGGUUCGAUUCCUGGGUCGGGAAGAUUCCCUGAAAGAGGGCAUGGCAACGCACUCCAGUAUUCUUGCCUGGAGAAUCCCGUGGACAGAGGAGCCUGGUGUGCUGCAGUCCAUCAGGUCACUAAGAGUCGGACACUAAAACGACUUAACACGAACACACAAGUCAUACAGAUGAUCAAUGGAAGGAGCAGACUUGUUAUUUAGUUGCACUGAGUCUUCUGGUGGCUCACGGACUGUGUUGCCCCGCAGCAUGUGAGAUCUUAGUUCUCUGACCAGGGAUGGAAG
Long non-coding RNA from Bos taurus (domestic cattle), 2878 nucleotides. NCBI's taxonomy places the organism in Eukaryota, Metazoa, Chordata, Mammalia, Artiodactyla, Bovidae. The record is from Ensembl.